This 497-nucleotide ribosomal RNA is filed under the name uncultured bacterium. RNAcentral's name for it is "partial 16S ribosomal RNA". It matches the Rfam family "Bacterial small subunit ribosomal RNA", at positions 28 to 507 of the family's 1533-position model. The record is from RNAcentral.
GAUGAACGCUGGCGGCGUGCCUAAUACAUGCAAGUCGAGCGAACAGACGAGGAGCUUGCUCCUCUGACGUUAGCGGCGGACGGGUGAGUAACACGUGGAUAACCUACCUAUAAGACUGGGAUAACUUCGGGAAACCGUAGCUAAUACCGGAUAAUAUUUUGAACCGCAUGGUUCAAAAGUGAAAGACGGUCUUGCUGUCACUUAUAGAUGGAUCCGCGCUGCAUUAGCUAGUUGGUAAGGUAACGGCUUACCAAGGCAACGAUUCAUAGCCGACCUGAGAGGGUGAUCGGCCACACUGGAACUGAGACACGGUCCAGACUCCUACGGGAGGCAGCAGUAGGGAAUCUUCCGCAAUGGGCGAAAGCCUGACGGAGCAACGCCGCGUGAGUGAUGAAGGUCUUCGGAUCGUAAAACUCUGUUAUUAGGGAAGAACAUAUGUGUAAGUAACUGUGCACAUCUUGACGGUACCUAAUCAGAAAGCCACGGCUAACUACGUG